AGGAUAAUAGUUUACAAAAACAUUUAAUUUGCAUUUAAAAGUCAUCAUCCUUGAUUUAUCUUU
Molecule: transfer RNA, 63 nt
Filed under: Hylurgus ligniperda
Lineage: Eukaryota; Metazoa; Arthropoda; Insecta; Coleoptera; Curculionidae
Description: tRNA-Ala
Source: RNAcentral